AUGAAGAUGACAACCAAUUCGAGAAGGACAAUUUCUGGCAGCACUAACUCUACCAACCUUUUGUCCCAAAAGAGUAAUGUGAACUCAUCUCACCCUUCAUCUGAGAAGCGUAGAGGAAGACGCAUGAGAGCUACUAUUGAAUUAAGAGUGCCUCCACGUGGUCGCAAAGUUGGCCUUCAACCUAAAGGUGAAAGGCAAUUUAAGUAUGUACCCUAUCAUCCCAAGAACUACAAGUACACUACACAACUUGGAGUUCUUCUCAAACGUGAAUACCCAGGAAAAAUAGAAGAAAAAAAUGAUGAUGGUGUCAUCACUAAUACGCGCCCGGCUUUGGAGUGGUACGAUUACUAUCAUGAUUCGACCCUAGAUUUUCAGCAACGGACAGCCGCAGAUCGUGUGAAGGAAGAGUUUUGGAACUUGUUUGAGCUGCAUGUGGAUGACGAGGAAGAUGAUAGUGCCCGAAUCCGAAUUGAGGAAGAGGCUAACCGGAUUAUUGACACCUAUGCAAGGAAAAAGGUGAAAGACAUGUUGUACCAACUGCGUGUGGAUGCUGUGAAGCUUUACUAUGAGAAUCAAGGAGAGAAGCUUGAUGACUCGAUGGCUUGUGCAAGAGAACUUGAAUAUGAGCAAUACCUCCAGAGUAGGAUACCAUGGUGCAAGGAAGUUGCAUGGCCUGGACUAUGUCGUUAUUGGACAUCAAAGGGAUACAAGACCAACAGGGGGAGGGGACGAGAAGCUCGCUUGAAAUCUGAGGAUAUUGCUCAAAACAGAGGAGGCUCACGACCUUUUGCGGAGGCACAACAAUAUUUGGAAGAGACUCUUGGACCCGAGAAGGCGACGACGCUGAAUACAUAUACUGCAAUGAAAUGUGGAAUGAAGAAUGUGAGUAGCAGCGGCAACAAUGGUGCAAUCAUUAGCAAUGGUGCAAUCAUGAGCCAGAAGGCACAAAAAUGCAUUGAUGACUAUACUACAUUGGUCAAAGAGAAGUAUCCAGAUAAUUGGGAGGGAAGAGAGUUGGACGGUGAGCUGUUGUAUGAAGCAUCAGGUGGCAUUCCUCAUGGUCGUGUGUCAAUAGGCGAUGGGGUUGUUAAGAAAGAAGAUAUUAAAUCAGCAGCUAGGAAAAGGAAUGCCAGUGCACCAAUUUCGCUCACACUUCGAGAGAAGGAACAACUCAGGCGUGCUAAUGAAGAAAAUGCAGAACUCAGGCGUGCUAAGGAGAUGCUACAGCAGAAAGUAGAUAUGCAUGGGCAGCUCAUAACUGCACUUUUCAAGGAGAUAGGAAAAGAGUUGCCAGCGCAUAUACUACAUAUACUAAGCCAUGGAGCUGUUUUGCAACCAGAAGGGACAAAUAACUCGUCUCAAGCCGGCUCACAAGCGGUUGAUGGCAACAAUGAUGUCAUGGAGUCGAGCGAGGAGAACGACACCACUGGGAAUGUCGGUGAUCAGAUCGUUGACGCAGCAGCCAACCAUGGCGGAAACUGA
This 1482-nucleotide ribosomal RNA is filed under the name Triticum aestivum (bread wheat). RNAcentral describes it as "partial small subunit ribosomal RNA". Lineage: Eukaryota; Viridiplantae; Streptophyta; Magnoliopsida; Poales; Poaceae. The record is from RNAcentral.